This 326-nucleotide ribosomal RNA is filed under the name Adalia bipunctata (two-spotted ladybird beetle). RNAcentral describes it as "partial 16S ribosomal RNA". The record is from RNAcentral. Lineage: Eukaryota; Metazoa; Arthropoda; Insecta; Coleoptera; Coccinellidae.
UAUAAUUUAAAGUAGGGCCUGCCCCUGAAUUUUGAAGGGCCGCAGUAUUUUGACUGUGCAAAGGUAGCAUAAUCAUUAGUUUUUUAAUUGAAAGCUUGUAUGAAUGGUUUGAUGAGAAAAUAGCUUUYUAUAAUUAAUUUUUAGAAAAAAUUUAUUUUUAAGUUAAAAAGCUUAAAUAUUUUUAAUAGACGAGAAGACCCUAUAGAGUUUUAUUAUAAAUAAUUAUUUAUAAAUUUUAGAAUUUUAAAUUUAAUUUUUUUUUAUAAUUUGAUUGGGGUGAUUAAAAAAUUAAUAUAACUUUUUUUUUAUAAUACCAUUAGUUUAUG